RNAcentral lists this ribosomal RNA (388 nucleotides) under uncultured bacterium. RNAcentral describes it as "bacterial SSU rRNA". It matches the Rfam family "Bacterial small subunit ribosomal RNA", at positions 28 to 407 of the family's 1533-position model. The record is from RNAcentral.
GAUGAACGCUGGCGGCGUGUCUAAGGCAUGCAAGUCGAACGGACUGUUAUUUGUAGCAAUACUUAGAACAGUUAGUGGCAAACGGGUGCGUAACACAUUGGUAACCUGCCUCAAAGUCGGGCAUAAUCCCGCGAAAGUGGGACUAAUUCCACGAUGGUCAUCGAAGGUGAGAUUCCUUCGAUGUAAAGUCGCAAGACGCUUUGAGAGGGGCCUAUGGCCUAUCAGCUUGUUGGUGAGGUAACGGCUCACCAAGGCUAUGACGGGUAGGGGGUGUGAGAGCACGACCCCCCUCACUGGGACUGAGACACUGCCCAGACACCUACGGGUGGCUGCAGUCGAGAAUAUUCCCCAAUGGCCGAAAGGCUGAGGGAGCGACGCCGCGUGCAGG